AUACGUAGGGGGCGAGCGUUGUCCGGAAUGAUUGGGCGUAAAGGGCGCGUAGGCGGCCUGUUAAGUCUGGAGUGAAAGUCCUGUUUUUAAGAUGGGAAUUGCUUUGGAUACUGUCGGGCUUGAGUGCAGGAGAGGUAAGUGGAAUUCCUAGUGGAGCGGUAAAAUGCGCAGAUAUUAGGAAGAACACAGGUGGCGAAGGAGGCUAUCUAAACAUAAACAGAGACUUAGGCGCGCACACGUGGGGAGCAAACAGGAUUAUAUACCCUUGUAGUCCACACUGUAAACGAUGAAUGCAAGGUGUAGGGGAGAACGACCCCUUCUGUGCCGUAGUCAGCACGAUAGGCAUUACCGCUGGUGAGUACAGUCGUGAGGUUGAACCUGAAAGGCAAUGACGGGG
Molecule: ribosomal RNA, 397 nt
Filed under: uncultured bacterium
Lineage: Bacteria
Description: partial 16S ribosomal RNA
Rfam family: Bacterial small subunit ribosomal RNA
Source: RNAcentral